Molecule: ribosomal RNA, 451 nt
Filed under: uncultured bacterium
Lineage: Bacteria
Description: partial 16S ribosomal RNA
Rfam family: Bacterial small subunit ribosomal RNA
Source: RNAcentral
AGCGAACGCUGGCGGCAGGCUUAACACAUGCAAGUCGAACGCUCGUAGCAAUACGGGAGUGGCAGACGGGUGAGUAACGCGUGGGAAUAUGCCUUUUGGUUCGGAAUAACUCAGGGAAACUUGAGCUAAUACCGGAUAAGCCCGUGAGGGGAAAGAUUUAUCGCCAAAAGAUUAGCCCGCGUCCGAUUAGCUUGUUGGUGAGGUAAUGGCUCACCAAGGCGACGAUCGGUAGCUGGUCUGAGAGGAUGAUCAGCCACAUUGGGACUGAGACACGGCCCAAACUCCUACGGGAGGCAGCAGUGGGGAAUAUUGGACAAUGGGCGCAAGCCUGAUCCAGCCAUGCCGCGUGAGUGAUGAAGGCCUUAGGGUUGUAAAGCUCUUUUGUCCGGGAAGAUAAUGACGGUACCGGAAGAAUAAGCCCCGGCUAACUUCGUGCCAGCAGCCGCGGUAA